This 253-nucleotide ribosomal RNA is filed under the name uncultured bacterium. Its description in RNAcentral is "partial 16S ribosomal RNA". It matches the Rfam family "Bacterial small subunit ribosomal RNA", at positions 524 to 776 of the family's 1533-position model. The record is from RNAcentral.
UACGUAGGGUGCGAGCGUUGUCCGGAAUUACUGGGCGUAAAGCGCUCGCAGGUGGUUCGUCGCGUCGUGCGUGAAAGACCCCGGCUCAACUGGGGGGUGUCGUGCGAUACGGGCGGACUGGAGGCCAGUAGGGGGAUGCGGAAUUCCGGGUGUAGUGGUGGAAUGCGUAGAGAUCCGGAGGAGCACCAGCGGCGAAGGCGGCAUCCUGGACUGGUCCUGACACUCAUGAGCGAAAACGUGGGGAGCGAUCCGG